GGGGAUUUGGCUCAGUGGUAGAGUGCUUGCCUAGCAAGCACAAGGCCCUGGGUUCGGUCCCCAGCUCCG
Molecule: non-coding RNA, 69 nt
Organism: Rattus norvegicus (Norway rat)
Lineage: Eukaryota; Metazoa; Chordata; Mammalia; Rodentia; Muridae
Source: Rfam